RNAcentral lists this ribosomal RNA (253 nucleotides) under uncultured bacterium. RNAcentral's name for it is "partial 16S ribosomal RNA". It matches the Rfam family "Bacterial small subunit ribosomal RNA", at positions 524 to 776 of the family's 1533-position model. The record is from RNAcentral.
UACGUAGGGCGCAAGCGUUGUCCGGAAUUAUUGGGCGUAAAGAGCUCGUAGGCGGCUUGUCACGUCGGAUGUGAAAGCCCGAGGCUUAACCUCGGGUCUGCAUUCGAUACGGGCUAGCUAGAGUGUGGUAGGGGAGAUCGGAAUUCCUGGUGUAGCGGUGAAAUGCGCAGAUAUCGGGAGGAACACCAGUGGCGAAGGCGGCGACCUGGGCCAAUAUUGACGCUGAGGUGCGAAAGCGUGGGGAGCAAACAGG